This 68-nucleotide transfer RNA is filed under the name Erythrobacter sp. RNAcentral's name for it is "tRNA-Ser". Lineage: Bacteria; Pseudomonadati; Pseudomonadota; Alphaproteobacteria; Sphingomonadales; Erythrobacteraceae. The record is from RNAcentral.
GCGGGCAAGGCUUCAAUUUAAUUUUGCCAAGGUUGGGGUCGGGCGUUCGAAUCGCCUCGCCCGCUCCA